UUAAGCGACUAAGCGUACACGGUGGAUGCCCUGGCAGUCAGAGGCGAUGAAGGACGUGCUAAUCUGCGAUAAGCGUCGGUAAGGUGAUAUGAACCGUUAUAACCGGCGAUUUCCGAAUGGGGAAACCCAGUGUGUUUCGACACACUAUCAUUAACUGAAUCCAUAGGUUAAUGAGGCGAACCGGGGGAACUGAAACAUCUAAGUACCCCGAGGAAAAGAAAUCAACCGAGAUUCCCCCAGUAGCGGCGAGCGAACGGGGAGCAGCCCAGAGCCUGAAUCAGUGUGUGUGUUAGUGGAAGCGUCUGGAAAGGCGCGCGAUACAGGGUGACAGCCCCGUACACAAAAAUGCACAUGCUGUGAGCUCGAUGAGUAGGGCGGGACACGUGGUAUCCUGUCUGAAUAUGGGGGGACCAUCCUCCAAGGCUAAAUACUCCUGACUGACCGAUAGUGAACCAGUACCGUGAGGGAAAGGCGAAAAGAACCCCGGCGAGGGGAGUGAAAAAGAACCUGAAACCGUGUACGUACAAGCAGUGGGAGCACGCUUAGGCGUGUGACUGCGUACCUUUUGUAUAAUGGGUCAGCGACUUAUAUUCUGUAGCAAGGUUAACCGAAUAGGGGAGCCGAAGGGAAACCGAGUCUUAACUGGGCGUUAAGUUGCAGGGUAUAGACCCGAAACCCGGUGAUCUAGCCAUGGGCAGGUUGAAGGUUGGGUAACACUAACUGGAGGACCGAACCGACUAAUGUUGAAAAAUUAGCGGAUGACUUGUGGCUGGGGGUGAAAGGCCAAUCAAACCGGGAGAUAGCUGGUUCUCCCCGAAAGCUAUUUAGGUAGCGCCUCGUGAAUUCAUCUCCGGGGGUAGAGCACUGUUUCGGCAAGGGGGUCAUCCCGACUUACCAACCCGAUGCAAACUGCGAAUACCGGAGAAUGUUAUCACGGGAGACACACGGCGGGUGCUAACGUCCGUCGUGAAGAGGGAAACAACCCAGACCGCCAGCUAAGGUCCCAAAGUCAUGGUUAAGUGGGAAACGAUGUGGGAAGGCCCAGACAGCCAGGAUGUUGGCUUAGAAGCAGCCAUCAUUUAAAGAAAGCGUAAUAGCUCACUGGUCGAGUCGGCCUGCGCGGAAGAUGUAACGGGGCUAAACCAUGCACCGAAGCUGCGGCAGCGACGCUUAUGCGUUGUUGGGUAGGGGAGCGUUCUGUAAGCCUGUGAAGGUGUGCUGUGAGGCAUGCUGGAGGUAUCAGAAGUGCGAAUGCUGACAUAAGUAACGAUAAAGCGGGUGAAAAGCCCGCUCGCCGGAAGACCAAGGGUUCCUGUCCAACGUUAAUCGGGGCAGGGUGAGUCGACCCCUAAGGCGAGGCCGAAAGGCGUAGUCGAUGGGAAACAGGUUAAUAUUCCUGUACUUGGUGUUACUGCGAAGGGGGGACGGAGAAGGCUAUGUUGGCCGGGCGACGGUUGUCCCGGUUUAAGCGUGUAGGCUGGUUUUCCAGGCAAAUCCGGAAAAUCAAGGCUGAGGCGUGAUGACGAGGUACUACGGUGCUGAAGCAACAAAUGCCCUGCUUCCAGGAAAAGCCUCUAAGCAUCAGGUAACAUCAAAUCGUACCCCAAACCGACACAGGUGGUCAGGUAGAGAAUACCAAGGCGCUUGAGAGAACUCGGGUGAAGGAACUAGGCAAAAUGGUGCCGUAACUUCGGGAGAAGGCACGCUGAUAUGUAGGUGAAGUCCCUUGCGGAUGGAGCUGAAAUCAGUCGAAGAUACCAGCUGGCUGCAACUGUUUAUUAAAAACACAGCACUGUGCAAACACGAAAGUGGACGUAUACGGUGUGACGCCUGCCCGGUGCCGGAAGGUUAAUUGAUGGGGUUAGCGGUAACGCGAAGCUCUUGAUCGAAGCCCCGGUAAACGGCGGCCGUAACUAUAACGGUCCUAAGGUAGCGAAAUUCCUUGUCGGGUAAGUUCCGACCUGCACGAAUGGCGUAAUGAUGGCCAGGCUGUCUCCACCCGAGACUCAGUGAAAUUGAACUCGCUGUGAAGAUGCAGUGUACCCGCGGCAAGACGGAAAGACCCCGUGAACCUUUACUAUAGCUUGACACUGAACAUUGAGCCUUGAUGUGUAGGAUAGGUGGGAGGCUUUGAAGUGUGGACGCCAGUCUGCAUGGAGCCGACCUUGAAAUACCACCCUUUAAUGUUUGAUGUUCUAACGUUGACCCGUAAUCCGGGUUGCGGACAGUGUCUGGUGGGUAGUUUGACUGGGGCGGUCUCCUCCUAAAGAGUAACGGAGGAGCACGAAGGUUGGCUAAUCCUGGUCGGACAUCAGGAGGUUAGUGCAAUGGCAUAAGCCAGCUUGACUGCGAGCGUGACGGCGCGAGCAGGUGCGAAAGCAGGUCAUAGUGAUCCGGUGGUUCUGAAUGGAAGGGCCAUCGCUCAACGGAUAAAAGGUACUCCGGGGAUAACAGGCUGAUACCGCCCAAGAGUUCAUAUCGACGGCGGUGUUUGGCACCUCGAUGUCGGCUCAUCACAUCCUGGGGCUGAAGUAGGUCCCAAGGGUAUGGCUGUUCGCCAUUUAAAGUGGUACGCGAGCUGGGUUUAGAACGUCGUGAGACAGUUCGGUCCCUAUCUGCCGUGGGCGCUGGAGAACUGAGGGGGGCUGCUCCUAGUACGAGAGGACCGGAGUGGACGCAUCACUGGUGUUCGGGUUGUCAUGCCAAUGGCACUGCCCGGUAGCUAAAUGCGGAAGAGAUAAGUGCUGAAAGCAUCUAAGCACGAAACUUGCCCCGAGAUGAGUUCUCCCUGACUCCUUGAGAGUCCUGAAGGAACGUUGAAGACGACGACGUUGAUAGGCCGGG
Molecule: ribosomal RNA, 2844 nt
Filed under: Escherichia coli 1-176-05_S3_C1
Lineage: Bacteria; Pseudomonadati; Pseudomonadota; Gammaproteobacteria; Enterobacterales; Enterobacteriaceae
Description: bacterial LSU rRNA
Rfam family: Bacterial large subunit ribosomal RNA
Source: RNAcentral